AUCCUGACCCCUACUUAGGGAGAAGUUGACCCCCCGGUUGACCUCUGGAGAGGGACAGGUCAGCCUGUUACUAUAAAGGUCACAUGAUGAACAGCCUGCUGAGGUUGUGGACUAGUUGUCCUUUAGGUUACAGAGAGCUGGUAGUCCCAUCCACCAAACUACCAGGUGGGUGGUAUAGAGGGGAUGGACUAGUUGUCCUUUAGGUUACAGAGAGCUGGUAGUCCCAUCCACCAAACUACCAGGUGGGUGGUAUAGAGGUGAUGGACCUGCUAGUUGUCCUUUAGGUUACAGAGAGCUGGUAGUCCCAUCCACCAAACUACCAGGUGGGUGGUAUAGAGGUGAUGGACCUGCUAGUUGUCCUUUAGGUUACAGAGAGCUGGUAGUCCCAUCCACCAAACUACCAGGUGUGUGGUAUAGAGGUGAUGGACCUGCUAGUUGUCCUUUAGGUUACAGAGAGCUG
Molecule: long non-coding RNA, 460 nt
Organism: Oncorhynchus tshawytscha (Chinook salmon)
Lineage: Eukaryota; Metazoa; Chordata; Actinopteri; Salmoniformes; Salmonidae
Source: Ensembl